Long non-coding RNA from Oreochromis niloticus (Nile tilapia), 1001 nucleotides. RefSeq lists it as uncharacterized. Lineage: Eukaryota; Metazoa; Chordata; Actinopteri; Cichliformes; Cichlidae. The transcript is spliced from 2 exons. The record is from RefSeq and is a predicted model, not a curated record.
CAGUCAUCACACAGUGCUGGGAUCUCCACACUGAGGAGCUCCACCCUUUUACUGACUGCAUCAGUAGCUCGAUGACGUGCUCUGUGGCACUGAAGCACCACCAUCCUGCCUGGAGGGAAGAUGACCUUCACCUCUCCCCCAAUACUCUCCACAUGACCCCACAGCAGGGAAGGAAAUAAGAAAAAGAGGGCACCUGAUGUGGUAACUAGGACAUCAAGUCUUGACACUGCACUGUCUCCAGGUUUGAUGCGGAGGGUUUGAUGGUUCCUGAUGAUAGAAGAGCACUGAUGUGAAAUAAUUUAAGGUUUGUAGCUACAGUCAUGUUGUCUUUGUGAGUUUUAUCAACCUUUGAUCAAAUAACAGUCUGCAUGUCUCUGACCAAGAAGGAGACAAACUCUCUGCUGUAGUCACAGAACAACAUGUAAAGAACAGAACUUGGUGGCUGACUACAUGGAGACAGGAAACAUGGAGCUCUUCCUUCACCAAAGUCACAGCACAGUCUUUAACUUUCCCAUUAACACCACUGUUGAAGUCUUCCAGUCUCAUCCCAGCUGGAAUUUUGGUAAACCAAAGAGCCAGCAUGUACAUGACGUGUGUUUAUGGCUUUUAUGCUGAAACAUAUUACAGUUUUUUAAGAGUAAACAUGCCUGUGUUUUAUAAUCGAAACUUUUUCUUGGAACUGAAAAUAAUCUUCUUUCUGUAUCAGCAGCUAGCAUCUCGUGACACAUUAGAUGUUUUAGCUGCCAUUGAGUUUGGGUGUUGGUUCAUUCUGUUAGCAGCAGAUAUUUUUAACAUUUUUUAAACAAUUUUCAGAUAUUUAGGUAUAAUGUAACAAUACUUUACUGUUGUUUAUAUGACAGUAAAAUAUUACUACUGUCUAUACUGUCUGUACUAUAAUGAUAGUAAGGUGUAACAGUAUUAGGACAUGACAACUUAUCAUGGAGUGAAUGUCAUGAUAAUUUUUAACCUGAUUCUUACUCUGGCUGGCAUUACUUUGGAAA